Molecule: ribosomal RNA, 450 nt
Filed under: uncultured Glomeromycotina
Lineage: Eukaryota; Fungi; Glomeromycota
Description: SSU rRNA
Rfam family: Eukaryotic small subunit ribosomal RNA
Source: RNAcentral
AGCAGCCGCGGUAAUUCCAGCUCCAAUAGCGUAUAUUAAAGUUGUUGCAGUUAAAAAGCUCGUAGUUGAAUUUCGGGGUCAGUAGGUUGGUCAUGCCACUGGUAUGUACUGAUCUUACUGAUUCCUCCUUCCUGAUGAACCGUAAUGCCAUUAAUUUGGUGUUGCGGGGAGACUGGACUGUUACUUUGAAAAAAUUAGAGUGUUUAAAGCAGGCUAACGCUUGAAUACAUUAGCAUGGAAUAAUGAAAUAGGACGUUCGAUCCUAUUUUGUUGGUUUCUAGGAUUGACGUAAUGAUUAAUAGGGAUAGUUGGGGGCAUUAGUAUUCAAUUGUCAGAGGUGAAAUUCUUGGAUUUAUUGAAGACUAACUACUGCGAAAGCAUUUGCCAAGGAUGUUUUCAUUAAUCAAGAACGAAAGUUAGGGGAUCGAAGACGAUCAGAUACCGUCGUAG